CAAACAAGAGCUUGUCAAAUUAGCCAAGGAGACUGCCUGAGAACCUGCAUCAAGGGUUAAAUUUGUAUAAACAUUGUUGCAAGCCACAACCCAAAAUGCUAGGAAAUCAGGCAAGUCAUCCUUGGCUAUCAAACAAGACUCUUAUCU
RNAcentral lists this microRNA precursor (147 nucleotides) under Manihot esculenta (cassava). The record is from RNAcentral. Lineage: Eukaryota; Viridiplantae; Streptophyta; Magnoliopsida; Malpighiales; Euphorbiaceae.